Molecule: long non-coding RNA, 1283 nt
Organism: Ornithodoros turicata
Lineage: Eukaryota; Metazoa; Arthropoda; Arachnida; Ixodida; Argasidae
Exons: 4
Source: RefSeq, a predicted model, not a curated record
UAAGUGCUGAUGUAGCAGCUCCUGCUGGCGCGACGCCUGUAGCUAUACUCCGCUAACAGUAGAGGAGAAGAUAGAACAAGACAGCCUGUGGGACACACCGUAGCGUCCAGAUGUACUCACAACCGCACAUCGUUGCAUCUGUUGUUCUGCACAAGAUAAACAAGCCAUAUUUUGCCCGUGGAUAGGGCUCACACAAGAACGAAGAAGAAGCACAGAAUGCCUGUAACACUUCUCUUCGAACAAAUCCUUAUCGUAUAGCAAAAUUACCCAAACAGCGAGGCACUAUCGGAGAACCAUGUCUACCCCGAUUACUAUUUGACCUUCCCUCAUACAAAUGCGUAGUUCGUCGUACAGCUUCCCAUGAGGCUUCAUUGCAAGCAGUCGUUCUUCUUACGCAUGGUAGUAUCUGCUUUGACAGAGGAAGGCUGUCUACAGCUGUCUCGUAAGUGCUUCGAACUGCAGCGUGCCAUUUCACACGCUUUCACCUGGACGUAAGAAGCUUUGUCACUGUACCAUGCAUUCAGCAGACUACGCCCUGUCUCCCACAAAAGUGUAAUGGUAACGAAAAAUUAGCGGGCAUAGAUGCUGGAAAAACAGGGAAAAGAAAAAGUUAAGGAGAAGAUAUUGUUCUGGAACUAUUCACGCUCAUUUGUGUUCCAUAACUCAUCGUCGGGUCCCCUUGGAUUUUGAAACGCUGCACGGAUUCCACGAUCAUAAUGAAUGGCAUCAUGCAGCCAUCUUCUAGGCCCUGACGAAGAUGCAUGGGUCCCCUGAAAGUCCAGGUCCCGACAACGGCAGAGUACGGACAAGUUGCGUAAAGGAGAAACUUGCAUCUGGUACAUCCAGUACGACGACCAGUAAUGGCAUUCCGCUGUAUUGUCACCGGUGCCAAAUGCUCGUUAGGACAGAGGUCGCGUACACAUCCGGGCCCCUUUCCUGGAUUCUCUGCGGGUCCAUGAUGUCGUUGUGCCUAAUUGGAUGCUGCUAUUGCCUCCUGCCCUGCAUACUUCCACCGUGCCUACUCAUCGAAGAAAUUCACGUGUGUCCAAGGUGUAAAAGGGUCCUAGCCGUAUUCGAGCAUGAAGAUAUAAUGUGACGUUCUAUGAAUUGUUUGCAUGUGACCUGACUUGAUCGUCCACGUAAAAUCGCUCGGGAGGAAGACGUCAUAUCGGAGGGCGCACCCCGUGAAAGACCUGCGGUAUAUCGCCUUUGAAGUCAUGCUCAAAAUUAGGGAUUCGAGAGCGAGCACUGUUCGACGUUUAAUAAACGCCAUUUGGUUCUGA